UGGUUCUCUACUGCCUUGCCACAGGUGAGGCCAAAAAUUAUGUUGAUGACACUAGUUGUCGAUCGAUUGCUAUUGUCCUCUUCGUCGGGCUGGCAUUGCUGCGGCUCUUCAGGGGCUCAAUUCCACUGCUUCUGAAUAUACUUGCUGAAGUAGUCUCUUUGGAUUAGGGCCUAGAUCUUAUCCUUGAGCUGGAGACAUUCCUCAGUAUUAUGACCGUGGUCAUAAUGAAAGCAAUAGUACUAUCUUUUGAUCCUCUUGUCCAAAGAAACUUUCAUUGGUUCGAGCCGUCGAAGAUACUUCUGACCCUUGAUCUCCAUUAGGAUUAGAGCUCGAGG
Molecule: long non-coding RNA, 335 nt
Filed under: Elaeis guineensis (African oil palm)
Lineage: Eukaryota; Viridiplantae; Streptophyta; Magnoliopsida; Arecales; Arecaceae
Description: long non-coding RNA (EGUI_LNC007354)
Source: RNAcentral